RNAcentral lists this ribosomal RNA (588 nucleotides) under uncultured bacterium. RNAcentral's name for it is "bacterial SSU rRNA". It matches the Rfam family "Bacterial small subunit ribosomal RNA", at positions 338 to 916 of the family's 1533-position model. The record is from RNAcentral.
CCUACGGGAGGCAGCAGUGGGGAAUCUUGCGCAAUGGGCGAAAGCCUGACGCAGCGACGCCGCGUGGGUGAUGAAGGCCUUCGGGUCGUAAAGCCCUGUCAAGAGGGACGAAACCUCGUCGACCUAACAUGUCGGCGACCUGACGGUACCUCUGAAGGAAGCACCGGCUAACUCCGUGCCAGCAGCCGCGGUAAUACGGAGGGUGCGAGCGUUGUUCGGAAUUACUGGGCGUAAAGCGCGUGUAGGCGGCCUCCUCAGUCUGGUGUGAAAGCCCGGGGCUCACCCCCGGAAGUGCAUUGGAUACUGGGAGGCUGGAGUACCGGAGAGGAGGGUGGAAUUCCCGGUGUAGUGGUGAAAUGCGUAGAUAUCGGGAGGAACACCAGUGGCGAAAGCGGUCUUCUGGGCUGUAACUGACGCUGAGGCGCGAAAGCGUGGGGAGCGAACCGGAUUAGAUACCCGGGUAGUCCACGCCGUAAACGAUGGACACUAGGUGUGGGGGGUAUCGACCCCCUCCGUGCCGUAGCUAACGCAAUAAGUGUCCCGCCUGGGGAGUACGGCCGCAAGGCUAAAACUCAAAGGAAUUGACGG